RNAcentral lists this ribosomal RNA (253 nucleotides) under uncultured bacterium. RNAcentral's name for it is "partial 16S ribosomal RNA". It matches the Rfam family "Bacterial small subunit ribosomal RNA", at positions 524 to 776 of the family's 1533-position model. The record is from RNAcentral.
GACAGAGGGUGCAAACGUUGCUCGGAAUUACUGGGCGUAAAGCGCGUGUAGGCGGUUCCGCCAGUCUGGUGUGAAAGCCCGGGGCUCACCCGGAACGACGCAUUGGAUACUACGGAGCUUGAGUCCUGAAGAGGAGAGCGGAAUUCCCGGUGUAGAGGUGAAAUUCGUAGAUAUCGGGAGGAACACCAGUGGCGAAGGCGGCUCUCUGGGACGGUACUGACGCUGAGGAACGAAAGCGUGGGGAGCGAACAGG